This 442-nucleotide ribosomal RNA is filed under the name uncultured bacterium. RNAcentral's name for it is "partial 16S ribosomal RNA". It matches the Rfam family "Bacterial small subunit ribosomal RNA", at positions 339 to 795 of the family's 1533-position model. The record is from RNAcentral.
CUACGGGCCGCACCAGCGAGGAAUUUUAGUCAAUGGGCGAAAGCCUGAACUAGCGACGCCGCGUGGGGGAUGAAGGUUUUAGGAUUGUAAACCCCUUUUAUCAGGGAGGAAUAAAAUGACAGUACCUGAUGAAUAAGCCAUGGCUAACUACGUGCCAGCAGCCGCGGUGAUACGUAGGUGGCGAGCGUUAUCCGGAUUUACUGGGCGUAAAGCGGGUGCAGACGGUUUCUCAAGUCGGGCGUAAAAUCUCCCAGCUUAACUGGGAGGGACCGUUCGAUACUGUGAGGCUAGAGGACAGCAGGGGGAGGUAGAAUUCCCGGUGUAGUGGUGGAAUGCGUAGAUAUCGGGAGGAAUACCAGUGGCGAAGGCGGCCUCCUGGGCUGUUUCUGACGUUCAGACCCGAAGGUGUGGGGAGCAAACAGGAUUAGAUACCCCUGUAGUC